CACGUAGGUGGUUUGUCGCGUUGUUCGUGAAAACUCACAGCCUAACUGUGGGCGUGCGGGCGAUACGGGCAGACUAGAGUACUGCAGGGGAGACUGGAAUUCCUGGUGUAGCGGUGGAAUGCGCAGAUAUCAGGAGGAACACCGGUGGCGAAGGCGGGUCUCUGGGCAGUAACUGACGCUGAGGAGCGAAAGCGUGGGUAGCGAACA
This 207-nucleotide ribosomal RNA is filed under the name uncultured bacterium. RNAcentral's name for it is "partial 16S ribosomal RNA". It matches the Rfam family "Bacterial small subunit ribosomal RNA", at positions 568 to 774 of the family's 1533-position model. The record is from RNAcentral.